GCUAGACAGAUCUGGUUGUUGUUUGUUUGUAAGUGGGAUGAUGUUAGACAAAUGUCAUAGCCCCUCUGGACUCCAGAGUCUAUCCAUAGCAGGAACUGGCUAAAGGGAGGCUUAGAAGAUACUGUUAGCAUUUCGUCUAAGCUCCGCCCCACAGUUACCUGGCGAUGGCCAGGCAUGCGCACUCACUUAUAAGGGGCUGCUCUCCUCACUCUGCUCUCUUGCUCUUGCCUUCUAAUAUAUACUGUGUGUGAAGUCGGCUAUGUGCUGCUCAUAAGCGCUUCCAGAUGCAAGGAUGCAGUCAUCUGUCUUUCAUGGAAUGGGGUAAGGGCCAGGCUUGCAGGUAGCCCCGGGAAGAGAGAAACUUCUACUAACGGGAGAGGGAAGGGUCUGGACCACCGAGGUUUGCCUGAAGGUUGGUGCUACGGAAGCUGCAGCACUGCAGACUAUUUUGACUUCCAACAGUGGCUUAAUGUCUCUGCCCAGGUGACAAGUGACUGUAAUAAAAGCAAAGCCUGCCUCCUUA
Molecule: long non-coding RNA, 523 nt
Organism: Mus musculus (house mouse)
Lineage: Eukaryota; Metazoa; Chordata; Mammalia; Rodentia; Muridae
Product: predicted gene, 46929
Exons: 2
Source: RefSeq, a predicted model, not a curated record